UGCCAGCCGCCGCGGUAACACGUAGGCAUCAAGCGUUAUCCGGAUUUAUUGGGCGUAAAGAGCUCGUAGGCUGUUCGGUAAGUCGGGUGUGAAAACUCUGGGCUCAACCCAGAGAGGCCACUCGAUACUGCUGUGACUAGAGUGCGGUAGGGGAGCGGGGAAUUUCUGGUGUAGCGGUGAAAUGCGCAGAUAUCAGAAGGAACACCAGUGGCGAAGGCGCCGCUCUGGGCCGUAACUGACGCUGAGGAGCGAAAGCAUGGGUAGCAAACAGGAUUAGAUA
This 280-nucleotide ribosomal RNA is filed under the name uncultured bacterium. Its description in RNAcentral is "partial 16S ribosomal RNA". It matches the Rfam family "Bacterial small subunit ribosomal RNA", at positions 506 to 784 of the family's 1533-position model. The record is from RNAcentral.